This 406-nucleotide unclassified non-coding RNA is filed under the name Hevea brasiliensis (rubber tree). The record is from RNAcentral. Lineage: Eukaryota; Viridiplantae; Streptophyta; Magnoliopsida; Malpighiales; Euphorbiaceae.
GUGCGUGUGUGUGCGUGUGCGUGUGUGUCUUUUAUAUUCAGUGGAUUGGAAAUUUCUUGAACUAUUGUUGUUAAAACAUGAUUUAUUCUUCCUGAAAUAAUUGUGGAUUUUGACAUGAUUUAUGUUAUAAAUCCUAGAUUCUGGCACAGUAUGUCCUUGAUUUAGAUAGAAAAUUAGCCAUAUAGGCACAAGUGGAAGUGUCUGAUACAAUGCCCUGGGGAAAGGAGGAUUUCCGAUAACUAGAUGUCUGUGCCUAUUGGGCUAUAAGAAGGGACAAUCCUCUCCAUCUUAGGAUACAUUAUGUAGUUCACUAGUCACAUUCUUUAUAUGGCUCCUCUAAGUGACCAUUGUUACCAAAAAUGUGUAUUGUGUUGGCUUUCCUAUAAUGUUACAAGCAAAGUUCAAA